This is a long non-coding RNA of Homo sapiens (human), 1095 nucleotides long. RefSeq lists it as uncharacterized. NCBI's taxonomy places the organism in Eukaryota, Metazoa, Chordata, Mammalia, Primates, Hominidae. The transcript is spliced from 5 exons. The record is from RefSeq and is marked validated.
AGACACGCGCUUUCAACCGGCGGAGACACUGGCAGCUGAUCCAUAUGAAUUCCUCUUAUUAAGAAAAAUAAAGCAUCCAGGAUUCAAUGAAGAACUGACUAUCACCUUGUUAAUCAUUCAGAAACAUGUUGCAGGCUUAAGCCAUUUUUGAUAUAGAUACUGAAACAAUUACUUGCUAAGAGCAAACUUGAAGGUAUGGAUAAGGCCCUGAGUCAUCUUCCUGAGCUGAAUGAUAGUUAAGCUGAAUCUCUGCUGCCCCCUGCCCCAUACACGUGAUGGAGCAGAAAACGUGCUGUGUGAACCUGUGACUUCAGGGCCUGUUGACGUGGUCGUGCUUGCAUACUCUCUGGACUGGACCUCACUGUGGGAACAACAAGAUCAACAAGAGGAGCAAGAACAACAUCAAGAGUCAGGGCCCGGGGGUCCUGACGGGUACAGGAUGGGUACAGACCCACACAGGAAUCCCAGAGUGUGUUCCACAGCAGGACACGCCUGCGCUGAAAGAGUGGGCAGAAAGGAGCUGACCUGGGAUUAUGAUCCAAACUCAGCUGGGCCUCCCCUCCCUGCCCCAGGAUUGUGGAGUGAGAACGUUGCAGCAGGAGAGAACAACGCAGCAAAGCACAGCAGGGGAACCGGAAAUGCUCACCUUUUGACAGGGUACUUUUAGUUCUGGGGCCUUAUCUUAAGGAUAUUCCAACAUAUACAAAAAGAUUCAUGCACAGAGAUAUGUACUUUAGUAUUAUUUACCAUAGGAAAAAAGUUGGAAACAAUACAUUUUAUGUUCUGUAAAAUGAAAGAACAGUUAAAUAAAUCAUGGCUCUAAGACGACUCCAGGGCUGUGUACGGAAGUUCAGGGACAGAAUCAGUUGAGGCUGUUCCACCUGAGCCUAAGCUUCCUCUGCUGUAUGUCGGGAAUCAGGUGGGGGCCAAGCGAGAUCACCACAGUGCAGGCCAGUGUGCAGGGCACAGGUGGGCACCAGGGAGGGGACGCCGCACAGCCCCAUGCUCUCGCCAAAAACGUGCAGCACAAUUUGGAAGAAAACAUUUCCAUCUGUUAAUAAAGAGCAAGGGCCUCUGGUCAUAAGUGACACAUGA